Molecule: long non-coding RNA, 1560 nt
Organism: Vollenhovia emeryi
Lineage: Eukaryota; Metazoa; Arthropoda; Insecta; Hymenoptera; Formicidae
Exons: 3
Source: RefSeq, a predicted model, not a curated record
GUUCAAACGCAGCUUAUCGCGCAGAGACGUUCCUAGCGCGCAAACUUUUAUCCUACAGAAAAUCCAAUUUUUCACGUUUAAUUCUUUACACGUACCAUACGUCGUCGGACCACUGGCUCGAGAGAUUUAUUAAAGGGGAGUUAUUUGGCCGAUAAAUUACACGCACCGCGGAGCGGAAUGGAACACCGAGCUUAAGCUUUGCGGUUCAUCGACAAGUUGAAUUUCAGCUCCGUUGACUUUGGGAAGUGAGGUCGACAUCACGGAUAUGUCAAGAUUGCUGGAAAAUUUCUUGAUCAAUGGACUCGACGCCGCGCCGGUGAACGUCGGUGCUCAAAACCGCACUCCGGUUCGCCAACAAACAGGUACGGAACUGCGGAGUAGCAGCCUAUGUUGGUGAUCGACCUCCCCGUAUGCCGUUGCACCUGUUGCACGCUAUCGCAUACUUGUGCGAUAAAUAAUUUUACAAUAUCGACUACUCGCGUAUGUCUGCACGAGCAAUACUGUUCGCUGAAUGUAACAUAAGAUAACACACCUCGCGCAAUCUCCAGUUACUGGAAGCAAUAAAUAUCUAACAGUUUCAAAUACGAAGUACAAGGCAGUACGAGCCAGGACAGGAUGUUAGUGUCUGAAUAAUUAUAAUUGUAAGUCCAUUGGGAAAAAUAAUACCUCAGCCAGGGUUUUGUCGCGAUAGGCCUAAAAUUGAAAUUAUUUAGACACCAACACCCUUGGCUCUUACUCCCUUAUUACUUCGUAUUUGUGUUUUCACAUUAGAGCCUCGUGGAUUUUAUCAAUUUUCAAAUAUAUUUCCGCUAUUCAAUGACAUCUAAAUAUAAGGAACUAUUCGUAAUAGAUGAAUUAUUAAUAUAAAUCAUUAUUAAUAUAAAAAUUCGUAAUAUAACGUAAGAAAUAUUCGUAAAGAAACUGUUGAGAAAGUACUAGCGGUUUUACGAAAAAAUGUUCAUAUUCUUUGAAAAACUAAAUAAAUGGAGACUAACGUUUUUGUAAUUGCGCGUUGAAAGAGAGCAACGUAGCUUUGGAAAUGAGCAAGAAAUUACAUAAACCGUGCGUGGGUAAUACGUCCGCGAAUUCCAAGGAAACAUGCGUUUGCGCGGGUUAACGAGUUGAGUCGAAUGCUGUAUUUGCGUGUGUGGGUUAGUCGAGGUCUAUAGCCACACGCAAGGGAAUUGUCGACGCAAAUGAUAAGAAAACGUUGUUAAUUACAGCGGAAACGACUGGCCAGUUGGUUUUUGCAUCGUCAACGUUCGCUGAUUUACGUAUCGCGUUUACCCAGAAAUACGCAGCGGCAUGCAUUACGAAAUUUCUUCGCUACAUUUACUUAUUUCGCUUACUCUUUCCGCUUGGUUCCUUUUGCAUUACUUUUUACGCUUCUUCUCUUUCUUAUUUUCUUUUACUUUCUUGUACUUAUUUCGUGCGUCUUCUGGAAACUGCACGUGACAGAUUAUCCACACUUCUCAUUUAUAAUCUGUCGCGGUUUUUAUUUUUCAAACAAGCUCUCCUCUGUACGCCUUAAGGGAUUAAAGCUCAAAGAGUAUGAUAAAU